Molecule: non-coding RNA, 340 nt
Organism: Pelobates cultripes (western spadefoot toad)
Lineage: Eukaryota; Metazoa; Chordata; Amphibia; Anura; Pelobatidae
Source: the annotation of a GenBank genome assembly
ACACAGAGACACACACAGACAGCCAUACUGAAACACACAUACACACAGACAUACAGAACCACAUGGACACUGACAGACUCACACAUAGACAUACUGACACACUGACAGACAUACAGACAUUAUGGCACACAUACACACAGACAGACAUACUGAAACACACAUACACACAGACACUGACAGACGUACACACAUACAGACAUUUUGACACUCACAGACAGCCAUACUGAAACACACAUAUACACAUACAUACUGAACCACACAGACACUGACCGACUCACACACACACAGACAUACUGACACAUAUACACACAGAAGGACAUACUGAAACACACAUACACAG